AAAUGGAGUUGAGUGAAAUAAGUAAGGACACUUCUAAUACUAAACGCCACAGAAAAACUCAUUUGUACGAGAAUACAGCUGUAACUGUGGCAACGAUUGAAUCUGAUGAAACCAAGUGUACGGACCAAACCGAAAGAGACGAAGAGAAUUACGAGCAAUUAAACUUAAACAGAAAAACAAACAACAACAAACGACACGACAAGGAAAACACACAAAAUUGGAACAGAACUAUGAUUUUUAUAAUUUUGGUAAUGCUUGUUUUGCUGUAUAUUGCAGUCAUAGUGUUGACAGUUUUCGUUGUCCUACCGAAAAGUCAGGUUAAUGGAGGUUGGAGCAAAUGGACAUCAUAGACAUCCUGUUCCGUUUCCUGUGAUGUUGGCAUCCAACACCGUAACAGGUCGUGUACCAACCCAUAUCCUAGUGGUACUGGACAUCAUUGUUUUGGUGAAACGACAGAAGACAAAAUAUGUUUUCCAGGAGCUUGUUCUGAUGGUAGUUGGAGUAGCUGGAAUGGUUGGGGUACUUGUACUGCGACUUGCGACGGAGGAAUACGAUCACAGAGUCGAACAUGCACGAAUCCGAAACCUUCAUUACUAGGAAAUACAUGCGAUGGGAACGCGGUACAAAUUAGCGCCUGUAACAGGCAAGCCUGCAAUGAUGGUGCCUGGGUAGCUGGAGCAGUUGGGGUUCUUGCAGUGUAACUUGUGGCGUUGGGAUACGGUCACAGACUCGAACCUGUACAAAUCCGAAGCCAUCAUUACUAGGAAAAUAUUGCGAUGGUGCUCCGACAAAAAUUAGCAUUUGCAACGAACAAACGUGUCCAGACUUAAGGGUCGCCUUCACCGCUUACGGAAGUAGUACAGAAAGUUCAUACAUUGUCAUUAAAUUUCCUCACACGUACUUGAACAGUGGUGGAGCAUACAACACCAGCACAGGGAGGUUCACCUGCAACAUACCUGGCAUUUAUCAUUUUGCUGUUACUUUAACAAAAAGAAGAGAGAGCACAAAUAACAUCCAUGCCUAUGUAAGGAUAAAUAAUUCAAAUCAGCUUGAUUUGUAUUCUGAUUUAGAAGACUCUCGUGACUUUGAUUAUAGUAGUUAUUCUCUAAGCGCUGCCGGCACCUUCCACUUGAACGUAAAUGAUUAUGUAUAUGUACAUGGUAUUCCAAGGUAUUUCCAUAAUAGUGGUAGGUCACUCUUCACGGCAGUUUUAGUAAUCCCAGAUUAUAAAUGUAUAAAUACCCUGGGUGAUAUUUGUAAAUUCCUCAAUAUAUAACUGAACUGUAAAGCCUGUUUUGACUGUCAUAAUAGAUGAAUAAUUAUUUGUUUUUUGCUCCUUCAAGACCUUCAUGCAACCAUUUUCAAUCAUUUCCUGGAUAUUGGAUCAAAUGCUUAAUUUAUACUUUAGUCAUAACACAAAAGAAACACUUUCUUUACAUGAUUUUCAUUUUUCUUUUGAUUUGUUUUUAAACAGACAAUGUUCUCCGAAAAAUAUAGGUAUAGGUUUCAGGCAUUUGAAAAAGGUCUUGAUGUGUGACGCAGCCCUUGGAAUUUGUAAAGUUUAUGUAGAAUAAAAAAAUGCAAUGUAUCAUGUGUGCUUAUGUCUAUUUUUCAAAUGAACUCACAUGGAUAUGACGUCAAGGAAGCAUGAACAAGUCACAACGACAUAUUGACUUCUAUUGUUUACAUACGUUGCGUCACGUUAUCAUAAGAGUUGGGAGGUUACACUUGGAAAAAAUGCAUUUAAUGCUCAGUUAUGACGUUUAUAUAGCUCGGGAUGCCAUUUUUGCUGAAAAGUACGAGGUAUAAAACCAGUUUGCUAACGGAGGAAACAAAGUUGUAAACAUAACAUAUAACUAGCGCUUUAGUAGAUCAAAUUUGGGUAUGAAUGUAAAACAAAAAUAAACACUCAAUUAUAUUUCAUACCCAAAUGUGAACUAGUAAUCCGCGAUUCAUUUCUGUUGCGUUUAAAUGUAAGUUGUUUUGUACGUUUGCCUGUUUGAUUAAGGUUUCAUAGUAUGGAUAUGGGUUAGGUUUCAAAUGUGCAUAUUAAAUAAAUUUUCAUUUGAAUAUGAUCUUAUACAAUACUUACUAGCAGCUGUAUAUUUGUACAUUUGUGUGACUAAUAAGAUUUCGAAACUAGUUUCAUACACGAGUGAUAAUGUAUGCACUUUAGAAAUGAUUUGGUUGUUAUAAAUACGUUUGCAUUCCUGUAUUUUCGUAUGUUAUAUUCUUGCAAAUAUAUGCGUAUAAGUAUUAAUAUGAAAUAUGUUUCACAGAUGCAGAGGCCUAGGAGCGAGAAGACUGGGAGCGGGCGGGACAGGAAGCCCCCUCUCUCACCCGAUUAUUGACAUUAAGUGGGAAGACCUUUUUUCCUUUUUUUUAUUUUUUGGUUGUCCGAAAAUCUUCAUGGAAUAGCUGGGUGGGGUUAGCUGGCCGCUCCCCCCCCCCCCUUAUUACCCACCCACCCCCACCCCUCGCAUCGUUGAGUUCGUUCCUAUGUACGCCACUGAGAUACUGAUUAAGUUUAAACUUCGAAUAUGAACUGAAGGUAAAUAUUUAUGCUUGUAUCCUUGCGUUACAUUUGCACAAAUACUAACUAUCAUACUUUUGUUUAUUCGAUAAAUUGACAGUGACAUCAUAUGGUAGUACGAUAUUUACUGAAUAGGUAAGUCAGUAUGUCAAUAUUCUUUUACAAAGAAACAAAAGCUUUCACAUUGAAAUAUAGCAUUCGGGUUUUGAUAUACUGUUUCGCAGAAGUGUCUUCAAAUAACUAUCAAAUUUUAAAAUCGAAUCUGAACAACAAUAGUAUGAUUUUGCAACAUGUGCAACAUGUGCACGUAAUUUAUCAUAACGGUAACCUUUUUUCAAGAAGUUUAUGAUAUAUUGAUUGCGUUAAUACAGAAUUAACGGAGAAAUAUGUAUCCAAUAAGAUGUUGUAUUCGGUAUAUCACCAUCCAAAAUGGGGAAAAUUACAAAACUAAAUUGAAAUCAUGGUUGUCAUAAAUUUUGUUUUGAAUUAUAUUGUCAUAAAUAGAAAGAUAUGAAUAUAUAAUGAAGCAGUAGUAUCCGGUGUGUUCGUUUUGGGGAUACAAAUUAUCCAACAAUUGAACAUUAAACGGAUUAUCCGUGUAAAAAGCAUUGUCCAUUUAGCGUGAUGUAUUGUUGAAUGCAUUAAUAAUAUCUAACUGUGUAUCUGCAGAAAAGCUCAACAUAUUUAAUAUUUCUUUCUUAACAAUAGAAAAACAAAAUCUGCGACAAGGUGUGCACAAUUAUGUUUCCGUGGGAAAACCAGUGACUUGUCGGAACUCUGCAUUCUCAAACCUGUUCCAGAUUUUGUUACGCACUGGCGAUAUGAAGUUCGACAACUAUUGACAAAGUAUUCUCUAGAUGUUGACGAUUUUCUUUGAUAUAUUGAGUCAACUCAAAAGAAAUAAAGAUAAUCUACUUACCACAGGAAAUCAUAAUAACUAGUGUGACUACGAGGGUCCAAAUUAUUUUCCAAUUAUUGAUCGGGAACUAAAGUGUCUAUCGAUGGAU
Molecule: long non-coding RNA, 3540 nt
Organism: Mercenaria mercenaria
Lineage: Eukaryota; Metazoa; Mollusca; Bivalvia; Venerida; Veneridae
Exons: 5
Source: RefSeq, a predicted model, not a curated record